Molecule: long non-coding RNA, 2816 nt
Organism: Brassica rapa (field mustard)
Lineage: Eukaryota; Viridiplantae; Streptophyta; Magnoliopsida; Brassicales; Brassicaceae
Source: RefSeq, a predicted model, not a curated record
GAGAGUUGGGUCAUAGUUCUUUUAUUCUGUCACAUGGCCCACGAGUAGGGACAGUGUUUUCAAAAGUGAUGUUUUUUGGAUUAGGUUUGGAAACGAACCGGACAAUCAAUUUCUUUCAGAACCGAACCGAACCAAAAUCAUUUUGAAUUUAUCAUUUGGGUUUAGCAGUCACGCUAAAACGUGUUUUAGCUGUUGGUAUCACAAAUUAACAUGAGAAGAUGAAAAGUAUGGAACUGAGAUGAUUUUUCAGCAAGGAAAGAUUAAAAAAAAAAAAAUUGAAAUCAGGGUUCCUUAGCUAACACGCAACCUACACCGUUCGACAAAAUCUACUAAUAUGAACAACUUCUUAUAACCUAAAACAUGUCCUUACAUGACUAUUCUCUUUCUCAUGUAACACACUUUCUUAUAAGCCGCUAUAUCAUUUGUAAUGCUUCAUGUAAAAGUAAAACAGUAAAAGAGGUUACUAAGUGAAUUGUUUUGGUCAAGUGACUUAUGUUCUUGCUGGGAGCUACUUUUUUUGUAGCUGGGGGCCUGGCUACAGCCCCCAGCAUGUUUGGGUCAUUGCUUCUUGUUUGGGGGUCUUGUUAAAGAAGGGAUCUUAGAGAAGCAGUGACUUGACCAAAAAAAGAAGAAGAAGCCAGUGAAUACCAGAUUACCAGCCCAGCUAAAACCAUUUGUGUACCAAAGCAUGGCUGCUUCUUCCCCAUCUUAACUCAGCCUAUUUGCACUAUCUUCUUCCUCUCUAUUUUGCCAUUUUAGAUAUGUGAAUCUAAGGGGUCAUCAUCACUUGCUAACCAAAACUCAGAUAAAUCUAAACGUUCCCAUAUGAAUAACACAACAAUCCAGGCAUGAAACAAGUAUCAUAUAUUAUUGUUUUUGACUAUAUUCGUUUUACAUGAGCUCUGAAAUAUACAGAAUCUUGCAAGGUGGUGAAUAGAUGUAGAAAUGUAAUAACAAAAUUCUAUAACAUUACUUAAAGUUAAAAGGUACCUAAAUGUGAAUAAGAAAUGGGCUUAAAAUCACAAACGCCACAAAACAGAAAAACAGACAGACAAAACUAGCAAAGAAACAAAGCCCAACGUCUGAUACUAAGGACUUGAUCACCAGUGUAGUCUGAAUGGUAAUUACUUCUGGUCUAGUGUAUUUAUUGUCCGUAAUGAAGCAAAUCUCCUUCACCCUUGGUCUGCAAAUCUCUUCGUAUUUUCUUCAUGGCUCCGCAAAAAAGGUACAAAUUAAGAGACAAUCUUAGAUGAAAAAGUUAGUUUUAUACCAUUAGCUAAGAAUACUUUAUAAUAGAAUUAUUUUAUUUUAGAAUAAAAUAUAUCUAUACUAAUAAAGUAGCUCAGAAAGGCUCCACAGGCAGCCACCUCACCUCACCAUAUUCUAAAAAUCGACACGUGUCCACUUCUGAAAAAGCUAUCGGCAAGUUAUGUUUUCGAUCUGUUUUCAUUAUGUUUUAAUUCUGUGUUAAUGGGCCCAUUUCUUAUAUCAUUUUUGAUUUCUAAGGGUCUUAUGAAUAUUUGAACCAGACCCAUUAGCUUAAAGGUUUUCACCUCAUAACUCUUCUAUCCUUCUGUUGCAUCAAUGGCGUUCCUCCUUCGGAUCUCUCCAAAUCCGAGCAACGUCUUUGUAACGGUUAUCAUUUAUUUCGCACUGUUUUCUUCAAUUCAUCAAAACCAUAAAUGGUCAUAGAUUUAACUAUUAGAAUCUCUAUUUACAAGAAGCUUCAAUGUGCUUUUAUCAUCCACUCCAUCUCUUUCAUUAAUCAUUUAUGAAACGUAUUAUGAAUCUGAUACGAAGAGACCCAUUCCAUUGAUGCCAAGCACUUCAAAAUGUCUUAUUAAGUGAAUGAGAUCACUGGUCUUAGACUUUCAAAUAUCCUAAGGAAUCAGGGCAAAUCAUUCUUGCGUAGCAAAUAUGAAUAUGAUAAACAAGGUAACAAGGCUAGAUAAUACUUUUGUUGUUGUCUCAAAAUCAAUUUUUUUUAUUGACAGCAACACACAGCACAUGUGAAGCUGUUAACUGAUUUUCCAGUCGAUGCCGCAACUAACAGCGAAUAAGACGGACGCAUAAAAUUCAUUUUUUGCCGCUGGUGCUGGACGUGGCGUUUAUGAAACGAGCAGGGCUAUCUUCAACGCCUAAGAACUACUCAUCCAAACAGAUUGAUAGCCCAAGCAAUCCAGCCGUCAGGUAGCAACGAAUUAAGAUGAGUUGGUGGCGAUGCAAGUGUUAUGGUGGUAGGAAUCAAGUUCGGGUAGGUCCAGGAAAGUGUGGAACCGUGUUCUUCUGGUGAGGGUACAUUUUUUAUAGAGAAAGUAAGGAGAUAAGAGUGUGAAGCCAUUGCUGAUGAGUCCUGAUCUGGUGUUUGAUAUAACACUGGACCUGUAACGAUUUUCUAUAUAGAAGGUGGAAGUCAAGACAUUAUAAGCUAUGGAGUUUGAUUCAGUGCACUGCUUCUACGAUGAAGGAAUAAGGAAAUGCCGUAACGAUGGUGCCACAUGUUGAGUUGACCGCUUAGAUAAAAAAGUCACGUUUACGCUAUGAAGUAAUGUAUUUCUGUGAAACAGUGUGUGUGAGUAGCAUGUGGACAGUGCGUGUUCUUUCGUCAGUAGACUGACUGCAAGUGGCUCUCUGUUAUUAGUAUGCAUUCUUCCAAUUAAACUCCUUUGAUAUGUACAGCACACCAUUUGAACGAUCUCUUUAACAUGUUCUUCACCGUUGUAGGAAUAUCUAAAAUGUUAUGUUCGUAACAAUAAACUGUACAUCAUGAUAACAUUUUUUAUGAUUAUAAAACAAUAAAAAAAGAGUUGCAACAA